RNAcentral lists this ribosomal RNA (864 nucleotides) under Clavibacter sp. RNAcentral's name for it is "bacterial SSU rRNA". It matches the Rfam family "Bacterial small subunit ribosomal RNA", at positions 93 to 969 of the family's 1533-position model. The record is from RNAcentral. Lineage: Bacteria; Bacillati; Actinomycetota; Actinomycetes; Micrococcales; Microbacteriaceae.
CAGUGGCGAACGGGUGAGUAACACGUGAGUAACCUGCCCCCGACUCUGGGAUAACUGCUAGAAAUGGUAGCUAAUACCGGAUAUGACGACUGGCCGCAUGGUCUGGUCGUGGAAAGAAUUUCGGUUGGGGAUGGACUCGCGGCCUAUCAGGUUGUUGGUGAGGUAAUGGCUCACCAAGCCUACGACGGGUAGCCGGCCUGAGAGGGUGACCGGCCACACUGGGACUGAGACACGGCCCAGACUCCUACGGGAGGCAGCAGUGGGGAAUAUUGCACAAUGGGCGAAAGCCUGAUGCAGCAACGCCGCGUGAGGGAUGACGGCCUUCGGGUUGUAAACCUCUUUUAGUAGGGAAGAAGCGAAAGUGACGGUACCUGCAGAAAAAGCACCGGCUAACUACGUGCCAGCAGCCGCGGUAAUACGUAGGGUGCAAGCGUUGUCCGGAAUUAUUGGGCGUAAAGAGCUCGUAGGCGGUUUGUCGCGUCUGCUGUGAAAUCCCGAGGCUCAACCUCGGGUCUGCAGUGGGUACGGGCAGACUAGAGUGCGGUAGGGGAGAUUGGAAUUCCUGGUGUAGCGGUGGAAUGCGCAGAUAUCAGGAGGAACACCGAUGGCGAAGGCAGAUCUCUGGGCCGUAACUGACGCUGAGGAGCGAAAGCAUGGGGAGCGAACAGGAUUAGAUACCCUGGUAGUCCAUGCCGUAAACGUUGGGAACUAGAUGUGGGGACCAUUCCACGGUCUCCGUGUCGCAGCUAACGCAUUAAGUUCCCCGCCUGGAGAGUACGGCCGCAAGGCUAAAACUCAGAGGAAUUGACGGGGGCCCGCACAAGCGGCGGAGCAUGCGGAUUAAUUCGAUGCAACGCGAAGAAC